Molecule: small nucleolar RNA, 132 nt
Organism: Jaculus jaculus (lesser Egyptian jerboa)
Lineage: Eukaryota; Metazoa; Chordata; Mammalia; Rodentia; Dipodidae
Source: Ensembl
AAGCCAACCAGUUUAUUUGCCAAUCGGGAUGUGUUUCUGCAGAAAUUUAGAAACAGCUGGCAAUAAUGACACCAUUGCUAUGAGCCUUAAGGACAACUGAGGUCAUUCUGGUCCUUCAAAAUGGAUAUAAUG